AUCGACGUGCUACGUAAAGAGAGUGACGAGUCAUAUACAUUUGGCAAGAAACCAUGAAGCUGCCUACAGCCGUCUCGGUGGCAUAAGAACACAAGAAAUUGUGUUAAUUAAUCAAAGCUAUAAAUAACGCUCGCAUGCCUGUGCACUUCUCCAUCACCACCACUGGGUCUUCAGACCAUUAGCUUUAUCUACUCCAGAGCGCAGAAGAACCCGAUCGACACCAUGAGGGUGUUGCUCGUUGCCCUCGCUCUCCUGGCUCUCGCUGCGAGCGCCACCUCCACGCAUACAAGCGGCGGCUGCGGCUGCCAGCCACCGCCGCCGGUUCAUCUACCGCCGCCGGUGCAUCUGCCACCUCCGGUUCACCUGCCACCUCCGGUGCAUCUCCCACCGCCGGUCCACCUGCCGCCGCCGGUCCACCUGCCACCGCCGGUCCAUGUGCCGCCGCCGGUUCAUCUGCCGCCGCCACCAUGCCACUACCCUACUCAACCGCCCCGGCCUCAGCCUCAUCCCCAGCCACACCCAUGCCCGUGCCAACAGCCGCAUCCAAGCCCGUGCCAGCUGCAGGGAACCUGCGGCGUUGGCAGCAC
Molecule: long non-coding RNA, 587 nt
Filed under: Zea mays
Lineage: Eukaryota; Viridiplantae; Streptophyta; Magnoliopsida; Poales; Poaceae
Description: long non-coding RNA (ZMAY_LNC004473)
Source: RNAcentral